Molecule: ribosomal RNA, 425 nt
Filed under: alpha proteobacterium LO34
Lineage: Bacteria; Pseudomonadati; Pseudomonadota; Alphaproteobacteria
Description: bacterial SSU rRNA
Rfam family: Bacterial small subunit ribosomal RNA
Source: RNAcentral
AUGCAAGUCGAACGAUCCCUUCGGGGAUAGUGGCAGACGGGUGAGUAACGCGUGGGAACCUACCUUUCGGUACGGGAUAGCUCCGGGAAACUGGAAUUAAUACCGUAUGCGCCCUUUGGGGGAAAGAUUUAUCGCCGAAAGAUGGGCCCGCGUUGGAUUAGCUAGUUGGUGGGGUAAAGGCCUGCCAAGGCGACGAUCCAUAGCUGGUCUGAGAGGAUGAUCAGCCACACUGGGACUGAGACACGGCCCAGACUCCUACGGGAGGCAGCAGUGGGGAAUAUUGGACAAUGGGGGCAACCCUGAUCCAGCCAUGCCGCGUGAGUGAUGAAGGCCCUAGGGUUGUAAAGCUCUUUCAGCGAGGAGGAUAAUGACGUUACUCGCAGAAGAAGCCCCGGCUAACUUCGUGCCAGCAGCCGCGGUAAUUC